UGUUUGAAGUAUUCUGGUAAGAAUUGAACUUGAAGAAUUUAAGAGUUGGGCAUGAUUGAAAAUGAACGUGGUUUAAAAGAAAACGUUCAGAAUUGUUGAAUUCAAAAUUAUCCUUAGGUUCGACUCCUUGUUAUAAUGU
Molecule: transfer RNA, 139 nt
Filed under: Belgica antarctica
Lineage: Eukaryota; Metazoa; Arthropoda; Insecta; Diptera; Chironomidae
Description: tRNA IU25_tRNA_81
Source: RNAcentral